AUGGCUGUCGUCAGCUCGUGUUGUGAAAUGUUGGGUUAAGUCCCGUAACGAGCGCAACCCCUGUCCCUAUUUGCCAGCGAUUCGGUCGGGAACUCUAGGGAGACUGCCGGUGACAAACCGGAGGAAGGUGGGGAUGACGUCAAGUCAUCAUGGCCCUUACGGGUAGGGCUACACACGUGCUACAAUGGCAGGUACAAAGGGUUGCGAGACGGCGACGUGGAGCCAAUCCCAUAAAGCCUGCCUCAGUCCGGAUCGGAGUCUGCAACUCGACUCCGUGAAGUCGGAAUCGCUAGUAAUCGUGAAUCAGAAUGUCACGGUGAAUACGUUCCCGGGCCUUGUACACACCGCCCGU
RNAcentral lists this ribosomal RNA (352 nucleotides) under uncultured Gammaproteobacteria bacterium. Its description in RNAcentral is "bacterial SSU rRNA". It matches the Rfam family "Bacterial small subunit ribosomal RNA", at positions 1045 to 1397 of the family's 1533-position model. The record is from RNAcentral. Lineage: Bacteria; Pseudomonadati; Pseudomonadota; Gammaproteobacteria.